RNAcentral lists this transfer RNA (69 nucleotides) under Dipodomys ordii (Ord's kangaroo rat). It matches the Rfam family "tRNA". From Rfam's summary of the family: Transfer RNA (tRNA) molecules are approximately 80 nucleotides in length. Their secondary structure includes four short double-helical elements and three loops (D, anti-codon, and T loops). Lineage: Eukaryota; Metazoa; Chordata; Mammalia; Rodentia; Heteromyidae. The record is from Rfam by way of RNAcentral.
GGGAAUGUGGCUUAGUGGUAGAGUGCUUGCCUGGCAUGCAUCAAGCCUGGGUUCGAUUCCUCAGUACCA